This 229-nucleotide ribosomal RNA is filed under the name uncultured bacterium. Its description in RNAcentral is "partial 16S ribosomal RNA". It matches the Rfam family "Bacterial small subunit ribosomal RNA", at positions 568 to 796 of the family's 1533-position model. The record is from RNAcentral.
UGCGUAGGCGGAAAAUUAAGUCAGUGAUGAAAUCCUGCAGCUUAACUGUAGAACUGUUAUUGAUACUGAUUUUCUUGAAUAUAGUUGAGGUAGGCGGAAUGUGUAAUGUAGCGGUGAAAUGCUUAGAUAUUACACAGAACACCGAUUGCGAAGGCAGCUUACUAAGCUAUUAUUGACGCUGAGGCACGAAAGCGUGGGUAGCGAACAGGAUUAGAUACCCUGGUAGUCC